This 1337-nucleotide long non-coding RNA is filed under the name Arabidopsis thaliana (thale cress). Its description in RNAcentral is "long non-coding RNA (ATHA_LNC000572)". Lineage: Eukaryota; Viridiplantae; Streptophyta; Magnoliopsida; Brassicales; Brassicaceae. The record is from RNAcentral.
AUUUUGCAACUUCAAAACGCUCAUUCUCGAUAUCGCUCCGGAUGAGUAUUACCAAACGUAUCAUCAGAUUGACAAACGCAGGUUACUUAAUUAUACUUCUGAUUUCGAUUCUUGUUUUCUUUUGUUGGUUGUCAAGAGUAGAGUCAUUUUUCUAAGUCUUUUUUAUGGUUACUUGUUGUAGCUCCCAAGCUGGCAGAGGGAAUGACCGGAGGAACGUUUCCAAAUUAGAAUCAAAUCACAAAACCAAAAAUUAAAAAAAAAUCUUAUUUUGUCGGCAAUGUUUUUUAGAUAUUUCAUCUUAUGACAACUAUGUAUUCGGAAAUCUUGCAAAACUGGAUGAUUUAGAUGUGAAAAUAUUCAGCGCUUAAUGAAUUAAAUCCGGUUAACCAGACCAAGCAGAAUUAAAAUGGAAACCGAUAAAUCAGAACAAAACAGAACAUAUCUUUUGGUUUUCAUAUCAAACCAAAUUGAAUUAUAAGAUUUUGCCUUGGAUUUUGGUUUGGUUUCUUAUGCAACUUCCCAAAAGAACUGAUCUGUCCAAACUUAUGAUAUGGCAAAAUAACAUUUUAUUAGUUAUAGCAAACCCAACUUAUUACAUUACGAUCAUCACCAUUCACCAUCAUAACGAUGUGUGGUCUUAUAUAUAGGUUUUGUCGAUCAGAAGAAAUCUUUAAAAGUAGGAAGUUUGAUUUCUCCCUUACUAGAGAUAGGGAUAGUAAAUUCCCCUACAACAGGAAGGUCGAUGGUUAGACCGAUUUGGAGCUCGUAGUCAAUGUCCCAGUCCACACCAACGUCUCGAGCCAGGUUAAACAGUAUACUAUACGGCACCACCACGGGAAUAUCAAGAGCCGUCAUGUCCUUAGCUUUCAGAGAACCCGGGUCCGGUAUCUUCCCCUUUCCAAUCUCCCUGUUUACAAAUAAUUAGAUCUCUGUUGUUUACAAAAUCUAACAAAGAACCAAACGACGGAGUUAGUAGGUUUUACCUGCCGGCGCUGUGGAAAGUGAAACUGAUCUCACAGAUCGGAAUCGAAUGACUGUAAGGAUUGGUGACAGAGACUUUGGCCAAGUACUCAACUGAGUCACGGUUCACGUCUUUGAGGUCAACGUCCGUAACUGAACCCUCCGGUUUAGGGAUCGCGGUGAGUUUAUCCGCCACGAAGUCCUUGGCUUUAUCUAGCAAGCUCGCCAUAAUAACUCUUCUUGUUUAAAUCUCUUUGUUUUUGUUUCGGUGUUUUAGGUUUGUGUGUAUGAUAUGAAGUUUAACUUGGAAUAUAUAUAUAAACGGAUGGGAUUACGAUGUUCUUAUGAAGUCGGUCGAUGUAAAUGGAUUAAAUUUU